RNAcentral lists this ribosomal RNA (256 nucleotides) under uncultured bacterium. Its description in RNAcentral is "partial 16S ribosomal RNA". It matches the Rfam family "Bacterial small subunit ribosomal RNA", at positions 524 to 777 of the family's 1533-position model. The record is from RNAcentral.
UACGUAGGUGGCAAGCGUUGUCCGGAUUUACUGGGCGUAAAGAGCGCGCAGGCGGUCGUUCAAGUCGCGUGUGAAAGCCCCCCGGCUCAACUGGGGAGGGUCACGCGAUACUGAUCGACUCGAAGGCAGGAGAGGGUAGUGGAAUUCCCGGUGUAGUGGUGAAAUGCGUAGAUAUCGGGAGGAACACCAGUGGCGAAGGCGAACUACCUGGCCUGUUCUUGACGCUGAGGCGCGAAAGCUAGGGGAGCAAACGGGG